This 250-nucleotide unclassified non-coding RNA is filed under the name plant metagenome. Its description in RNAcentral is "partial contains small subunit ribosomal RNA, internal transcribed spacer 1, and 5.8S ribosomal RNA". The record is from RNAcentral.
GUAGGUGAACCUGCGGAAGGAUCAUUAACACGUGCAUUAACUCACGUAUUAACCAAACGCGAAAUGUUGUUAAGCCUGUUAUUGGAGUUGAGCUGACUGUCUGGGAAUGGUGUGACUACGGUGCUUCGCGCAUAGGGUCUAACAGACGGUCUCAGCGUGCUUGACACGCGGUUCGCUUCAGUAAUAGUAGAUGAAUUUCGGCUGCGUAUUAAGCCUGCACCUUGGCUUGCAGUCGGAGUGAAAUUAUUAC